ACCUUACUUGACCCGCAUAGGAAUUUGGUGGUUCGGAUAGGCGACCAGGGUGAAUCAGUGUUUAUGCUGACUCAACCAAAAUCGUGAGCUGGAGCGCCUCUCCAUCGAACAGUCGUAGCGAGAAGACAAUCAGGCCUCCUAAUAGAUGAUUUUUGAGUAUUUGCGUGAACAAAGCGUCCCGCCGGGACUAAAAGUAAAAAAACGCUACGAAGAGACCCUGGAUGCCCCAAAAUCGUAGAGGCAGAAGUUCUGGGAGGUGCUCACGCCAGGACAAAGGGCGAUGGAGAUGCAGCAAUGGUCGGUGCUACUACCAGCAAUGCUGCCUAAGCCGGCUGAUUAUCCCCUACCCUGGGUGGAUCUGUUCCCCUUUACCCCUUGUUCAAAAUUUUUUUAUGGAUUUGAAAAUAUUUACUUAAAAUUGCCAAGGAACGGCUAGCCCAAUUUCGGCCGCAUACUUCAGACCUUCGU
This 468-nucleotide long non-coding RNA is filed under the name Carica papaya (papaya). RNAcentral describes it as "long non-coding RNA (CPAP_LNC013973)". Lineage: Eukaryota; Viridiplantae; Streptophyta; Magnoliopsida; Brassicales; Caricaceae. The record is from RNAcentral.